Molecule: small RNA, 505 nt
Filed under: Pan troglodytes (chimpanzee)
Lineage: Eukaryota; Metazoa; Chordata; Mammalia; Primates; Hominidae
Description: retained intron
Source: RNAcentral
CGACGCCCCGGCUGAGCCAGUCGUUUCCGAGUUCUCCGGCCCCUGAUGGGGACGUCUGCGCCCCUCUUCUCAGGCCAGAGGUGCAGAGAUAUACCUCCCCGUCCCGGGGCUCAGUCAGCACUGCUAGGUUGUGCUACGAGCCAAGGACUGGCUGCCAGGAGCUCCUGGGGGCACCGCAGUGUGGGCCACCAGCUUGGAAGCAGAGGUCCCACCAGAUCUAGCGCUCAAUAAGGAGCAGCAGCUGCAGAUCUCCAAGGAGCUGGUCGACAUUCAGAUCACAACCCACCACCUACAUGAGCAGCACGAGGCUGAAAUCUUCCAGCUGAAGAGUGAGGUGCAGCCCAAGAACACCAUGAAUCCCGAGAAUGAGCAGCACAGGCUGGGGAGCGGCGUGAGUGUGCAGCCACCUAGCUCAGGGGAGAGGGCAGCACCAGAGACCCCAAGCCUAGGGUCUCAUCUAGCCAGCCCUGUGUGCCCCACAGCUGCAGGGGGAAGUGAAGCGGGU